GAUGAACGCUGGCGGCGUGCCUAAUACAUGCAAGUCGAGCGAACAGACGAGGAGCUUGCUCCUCUGACGUUAGCGGCGGACGGGUGAGUAACACGUGGAUAACCUACCUAUAAGACUGGGAUAACUUCGGGAAACCGGAGCUAAUACCGGAGAAUAUAUUGAACCGCAUGGUUCAAUAGUGAAAGACGGUUUUGCUGUCACUUAUAGAUGGAUCCGCGCCGCAUUAGCUAGUUGGUAAGGUAACGGCUUACCAAGGCAACGAUGCGUAGCCGACCUGAGAGGGUGAUCGGCCACACUGGAACUGAGACACGGUCCAGACUCCUACGGGAGGCAGCAGUAGGGAAUCUGCCGCAGUGGGCGAAAGCCUGACGGAGCAACGCCGCGUGAGUGAUGAAGGUCUUCGGAUCGUAAAACUCUGUUAUUAGGGAAGAACAAAUGUGUAAGUAACUAUGCACGUCUUGACGGUACCUAAUCAGAAAGCCACGGCUAACUACGUG
This 497-nucleotide ribosomal RNA is filed under the name uncultured bacterium. RNAcentral's name for it is "partial 16S ribosomal RNA". It matches the Rfam family "Bacterial small subunit ribosomal RNA", at positions 28 to 507 of the family's 1533-position model. The record is from RNAcentral.